Molecule: ribosomal RNA, 516 nt
Filed under: Shewanella putrefaciens
Lineage: Bacteria; Pseudomonadati; Pseudomonadota; Gammaproteobacteria; Alteromonadales; Shewanellaceae
Description: bacterial SSU rRNA
Rfam family: Bacterial small subunit ribosomal RNA
Source: RNAcentral
AUGCCUAGGGAUCUGCCCAGUCGAGGGGGAUAACAGUUGGAAACGACUGCUAAUACCGCAUACGCCCUACGGGGGAAAGGAGGGGACCUUCGGGCCUUCCGCGAUUGGAUGAACCUAGGUGGGAUUAGCUAGUUGGUGAGGUAAUGGCUCACCAAGGCGACGAUCCCUAGCUGUUCUGAGAGGAUGAUCAGCCACACUGGGACUGAGACACGGCCCAGACUCCUACGGGAGGCAGCAGUGGGGAAUAUUGCACAAUGGGGGAAACCCUGAUGCAGCCAUGCCGCGUGUGUGAAGAAGGCCUUCGGGUUGUAAAGCACUUUCAGUAGGGAGGAAAGGUUGCAGUUUAAUAAACUGUAGCUGUGACGUUACCUACAGAAGAAGGACCGGCUAACUCCGUGCCAGCAGCCGCGGUAAUACGGAGGGUCCGAGCGUUAAUCGGAAUUACUGGGCGUAAAGCGUGCGCAGGCGGUUUGUUAAGCGAGAUGUGAAAGCCCUGGGCUCAACCUAGGAAUAGCA